AAUCAUUUUCACGAGGUUUUUAAAAAUUAUUUUUUAUCUGCUGGUCUUGACUCACUAGCGAAAGCAAUCAGUGUCCCCGUUAGUGCCCAGAUCAAAAUCAUAC
Rhinopithecus bieti (black snub-nosed monkey) is the source of this 103-nucleotide small nucleolar RNA. The record is from Ensembl. Lineage: Eukaryota; Metazoa; Chordata; Mammalia; Primates; Cercopithecidae.